Molecule: long non-coding RNA, 607 nt
Organism: Triticum aestivum (bread wheat)
Lineage: Eukaryota; Viridiplantae; Streptophyta; Magnoliopsida; Poales; Poaceae
Exons: 3
Source: RefSeq, a predicted model, not a curated record
GUCUUAGCCAUGGUUUCCUCUCCUAUUUGGUUGCAGUACGCUGUUGGGACUUUGGGAUGGCUAGAACAUUCAAUUGGCUGUGAUGAUCUCUUACUAAGGUCUUGUCUCCAGUUGUAGCUUUGCACGUGCAACAGCCAACAGAUACUCUCCUUCCAGGCCAAUUUCUGAUUGGUAGCUAGACCCUAACUCUCAAAAUAUGUCAAGGUGGCCGAAGGAGAUGUCAUGUGCCUGCUGGAUAGUUGGCUGGAUGGCUAUGCCGAUGUCGAGCAGCUGAGCAGAGCUUGCAAGAUCGCAUGCUGGUGCAUCCAAGAUGAUGAGGAUCACAGGCCAAUGAUGGGGCAAGUCGUUCGCAUGCUAGAGGGUGUCAUGGAUGUUGAAGUACCCCCUGUUCCGAGGUCAUUGCAGAAUUUUGUAGGCAUGGAGGAUUGAUUACACUCGCUAGACCGAGCUUAUCAUUCUUUUCUUUUUCUCCAGUAGUGCACCAUGGUGCUAUUCGCUUAUCAGUGUAUCCACUUGUAUAAAUACAUGUACAAGAGCACAGCGUGCAGCGUGCUUAGCCACAACUCAACAUGCUUCCCCUUCAAGAAUUGUGUGUUCUGUUUUGUUC